Molecule: small nuclear RNA, 140 nt
Filed under: Dasypus novemcinctus (nine-banded armadillo)
Lineage: Eukaryota; Metazoa; Chordata; Mammalia; Cingulata; Dasypodidae
Description: U4 spliceosomal RNA (ENSDNOG00000041459.1)
Rfam family: U4 spliceosomal RNA
About the family: U4 small nuclear RNA (U4 snRNA) is a component of the major U2-dependent spliceosome.
Source: RNAcentral
AGCUUUGCGCAGUGGCAGUGUCGUAGCCAUUGAGCUGUAUCCAAGGCACGAUUAUUGCUAAUUGAAAACUUUUCCCAAUACCUUGCGAUGAUGACUUGAAAUAUAGUUGGCAUUGGCAAUUUUGGACAGUCUUUUAGAGA